UGGGGAAUAUUGGACAAUGGGCGCAAGCCUGAUCCAGCCAUGCCGCGUGAGUGAUGAAGGCCUUAGGGUUGUAAAGCUCUUCACCGAUGAAGAUAAUGACGGUAGUCGGAGAAGAAGCCCCGGCUAACUUCGUGCCAGCAGCCGCGGUAAUACGAAGGGGCUAGCGUUGUUCGGAAUUACUGGGCGUAAAAGCGCACGUAGGCGGAUAUUUAAGUCAGGGUGAAAUCCCAGAGCUCAACUCUGGAACUGCCUUUGAUACUGGGUAUCUUGAGUAUGGAAGAGGUAAGUGGAAUUGCGAGUGUAGAGGUGAAAUUCGUAGAUAUUCGCAGGAACACCAGUGGCGAAGGCGGCUUACUGGUCCAUUACUGACGCUGAGGUGCGAAAGCGUGGGGAGCAAACAGGAUUAGAUACCC
RNAcentral lists this ribosomal RNA (413 nucleotides) under uncultured bacterium. RNAcentral describes it as "bacterial SSU rRNA". It matches the Rfam family "Bacterial small subunit ribosomal RNA", at positions 355 to 787 of the family's 1533-position model. The record is from RNAcentral.